AAAAUUGCAAUCUGGUAAAAUAUUUAUUUUAAUUAUAUAUUUAAAUUAGCGAUGUGCCGCAGGUUUUUUUUACGGGACAGUUUUGGCGGGACGGGUUUGGCAGGACGUUACUUAAUAACAAUUGUAAACUAUAAAAUAAAAAUAUUUUAUAGAUAGAUAUUAUUUACAAACUUUUAUAUAUACUAAUUUUAAA
This 193-nucleotide small RNA is filed under the name Arabidopsis thaliana (thale cress). RNAcentral describes it as "ATSL079610". Lineage: Eukaryota; Viridiplantae; Streptophyta; Magnoliopsida; Brassicales; Brassicaceae. The record is from RNAcentral.